RNAcentral lists this ribosomal RNA (255 nucleotides) under uncultured bacterium. RNAcentral's name for it is "partial 16S ribosomal RNA". It matches the Rfam family "Bacterial small subunit ribosomal RNA", at positions 524 to 776 of the family's 1533-position model. The record is from RNAcentral.
CACGUAGGGUGCGAGCGUUGUCCGGAAUUAUUGGGCGUAAAGAGCUCGUAGGCGGUGUGUCGCGUCGGCCGUGAAAACCUGCAGCUUAACUGUGGGCUUGCGGUCGAUACGGGCAUCACUGGAGUUCGGCAGGGGAGACUGGAAUUCCUGGUGUAGCGGUGAAAUGCGCAGAUAUCAGGAGGAACACCGGUGGCGAAGGCGGCAUCCUGGACCAACACUGACGAUGAGUGAGCGAAAGCCAGGGGAGCAAACGGG